This 545-nucleotide ribosomal RNA is filed under the name uncultured bacterium. Its description in RNAcentral is "partial 16S ribosomal RNA". It matches the Rfam family "Bacterial small subunit ribosomal RNA", at positions 355 to 892 of the family's 1533-position model. The record is from RNAcentral.
UGGGGAAUUUUGGACAAUGGGCGAAAGCCUGAUCCAGCAAUGCCGCGUGUGUGAAGAAGGCCUUCGGGUUGUAAAGCACUUUUGUCCGGAAAGAAAUGGCUCUGGUUAAUACCUGGGGUCGAUGACGGUACCGGAAGAAUAAGGACCGGCUAACUACGUGCCAGCAGCCGCGGUAAUACGUAGGGUCCAAGCGUUAAUCGGAAUUACUGGGCGUAAAGCGUGCGCAGGCGGUUGUGCAAGACCGAUGUGAAAUCCCCGAGCUUAACUUGGGAAUUGCAUUGGUGACUGCACGGCUAGAGUGUGUCAGAGGGGGGUAGAAUUCCACGUGUAGCAGUGAAAUGCGUAGAGAUGUGGAGGAAUACCGAUGGCGAAGGCAGCCCCCUGGGAUAACACUGACGCUCAUGCACGAAAGCGUGGGGAGCAAACAGGAUUAGAUACCCUGGUAGUCCACGCCCUAAACGAUGUCAACUAGUUGUUGGGGGAUUCAUUUCCUUAGUAACGUAGCUAACGCGUGAAGUUGACCGCCUGGGGAGUACGGUCGCAAG